ACUCAAAGGAAUUGACGGGGGCCCGCACAAGCAGCGGAGCGUGUGGUUUAAUUCGAGGCUACACGAAGAACCUUACCUGGGUUUGACAUCACGCUAGUAAGCGGCUGAAAAGUCGCUGACCGCAAGGAGGCGUGACUGGUGCUGCAUGGCUGUCGUCAGCUCGUGCCGUGAGGUGUUAGGUUAAGUCCUGUAACGAGCGCAACCCCCAGAGCUAGUUACACGUUGUCUAGCUCGACUGCCCGUGACAAGCGGGAGGAAGGUGGGGAUGACGUCAAGUCAGCAUGGCCUGUAUAUCCAGGGCUACACACACGCUACAAUGGCCGGUACAAUGGGUCGCCAAGCCGCAAGGCGGAGCCAAUCCAGACAAAGCCGGUCUCAGUUCGGAUUGUGGGCUGCAACCCGCCCGCAUGAAGUCGGAGUUGCUAGUAACCGCGGGUCAGCCAUACCGCGGUGAAUACGUUCCCGGGCCUUGUACACACCGCCCGU
RNAcentral lists this ribosomal RNA (486 nucleotides) under uncultured bacterium. RNAcentral describes it as "partial 16S ribosomal RNA". It matches the Rfam family "Bacterial small subunit ribosomal RNA", at positions 899 to 1397 of the family's 1533-position model. The record is from RNAcentral.